UGGGGAAUAUUGCACAAUGGGCGAAAGCCUGAUGCAGCAACGCCGCGUGAGUGAUGAAGGUCUUCGGAUUGUAAAGCUCUGUCUUUUGGGACGAUAAUGACGGUACCAAAGGAGGAAGCCACGGCUAACUACGUGCCAGCAGCCGCGGUAAUACGUAGGUGGCGAGCGUUGUCCGGAUUUACUGGGCGUAAAGGGUGCGUAGGCGGAUGUUUAAGUGAGAUGUGAAAUACCCGGGCUUAACUUGGGUGCUGCAUUUCAAACUGGAUAUCUAGAGUGCAGGAGAGGAGAAUGGAAUUCCUAGUGUAGCGGUGAAAUGCGUAGAGAUUAGGAAGAACACCAGUGGCGAAGGCGAUUCUCUGGACUGUAACUGACGCUGAGGCACGAAAGCGUGGGUAGCAAACAGGAUUAGAUACCCUGGUAGUCCACGCCGUAAACGAUGAGUACUAGGUGUAGGAGGUAUCGACCCCUUCUGUGCCGCAGUAAACACAUUAAGUACCCCGCCUGGGAAGUACGAUCGCAAGAUUAAAACUCUAAAGUGAAUUGACGGGGG
RNAcentral lists this ribosomal RNA (550 nucleotides) under uncultured bacterium. RNAcentral describes it as "partial 16S ribosomal RNA". It matches the Rfam family "Bacterial small subunit ribosomal RNA", at positions 355 to 919 of the family's 1533-position model. The record is from RNAcentral.